GACGAACGCUGGCGGCGUGCUUAACACAUGCAAGUCGAACGAAAAGAGGGAAAGAGCUUGCUCUUUCCGGAAUUGAGUGGCAAACGGGUGAGUAACACGUAAACAACCUGCCUUCAGGAUGGGGACAACAGACGGAAACGACUGCUAAUACCGAAUAAGUUCCAAGGGCCGCAUGGCCCAUGGAAGAAAAGGUGGCCUCUACCUGUAAGCUAUCGCCUGAAGAGGGGUUUGCGUCUGAUUAGCUGGUUGGAGGGGUAACGGCCCACCAAGGCGACGAUCAGUAGCCGGUCUGAGAGGAUGAACGGCCACACUGGAACUGAGACACGGUCCAGACUCCUACGGGAGGCAGCAGUGGGGAAUCUUCCGCAAUGGGCGAAAGCCUGGCGGAGCAACGCCGCGUGAGUGGUGACGGCCUUCGGGUUGUAAAACUCUGUGAUCCGGGACGAAAAGGCAGAGUGCGAAGAACAAACUGCAUUGACGGUACCGGAAAAGCAAGCCACGGCUAACUACGUG
RNAcentral lists this ribosomal RNA (513 nucleotides) under uncultured bacterium. RNAcentral's name for it is "partial 16S ribosomal RNA". It matches the Rfam family "Bacterial small subunit ribosomal RNA", at positions 28 to 507 of the family's 1533-position model. The record is from RNAcentral.